RNAcentral lists this ribosomal RNA (315 nucleotides) under uncultured eukaryote. RNAcentral's name for it is "partial 18S ribosomal RNA". It matches the Rfam family "Eukaryotic small subunit ribosomal RNA", at positions 1470 to 1796 of the family's 1831-position model. The record is from RNAcentral.
CCCUUAGACGUUCUGGGCCGCACGCGCGCUACACUGACCAGUGCAACAAGCAUCCGUCCUUGGCCGACAGGCCCGGGCAAUCUUUGAACGCUGGUCGUGGUGGGGAUAGACUUUUGCAAUUUUUGGUCUUCAACGAGGAAUUCCUAGUAAACGCAAGUCAUCAACUUGCAUUGAUUACGUCCCUGCCCUUUGUACACACCGCCCGUCGCACCUACCGAUUGAAUGGUCCGGUGAAGCCUCCGGAUUGGCGCGCACCUCGGUGCCGCCGAGAAGUUGGCUAAACCUUACCAUUUAGAGGAAGGUGAAGUCGUAACA